This is a long non-coding RNA of Ostrinia furnacalis (Asian corn borer), 2307 nucleotides long. RefSeq lists it as uncharacterized. The transcript is spliced from 3 exons. NCBI's taxonomy places the organism in Eukaryota, Metazoa, Arthropoda, Insecta, Lepidoptera, Crambidae. The record is from RefSeq and is a predicted model, not a curated record.
UUUGUAAAUACCUAACUGAUAAAAGAUACCAUUUUAGAGGUCUCAGAGAGCGAUUAACUUGAUGACGAAUUGGUAGUCUUGACUCUACAAUUAUACCUUUUCCAAUGUAAAGUUCUCCACAAAUUGAGCAUAUAAAUCAAAACGUUAACGUUUAUUACCAACUGUUGAACCCACUCAAAACACGAGCGAGUUUAAAGAACUCGUCUGAUCAACUUUCCAAAAACUCUCAUCUACAACUAAUUAAGUAAACGUAUAAACGUGAGUCCCAUCGCGGUUAAAUAAAUCAAAAAUCUACAAAUUGGCUGAAACAACACCUGUGCCAGUCGAAUACUGGCCAUCAAGCUUUUAAAACGACAUCUAAAAUUGCAGGCUUGACAGAAACGCGACAGAUAAAAACUGGUCAGAAAAGUAUUUAAGUUUUAAAAUUUGAAUUUCGAAUCGAGCGCGAAGUGGGUGUGGGUACGCACAUUACCAACUGUGCAAACGAUCUGUACGUAGCGGGCGCACGGUCGUACGCCGCGUCAUCGCUACACGAAAAAGGUCUUUACACUCCACACCUCAAAAACAAACUUGGAGGCCGCUCGCCCGCUCCGAGUCAACAUUCGCGUGCCUCUAACUCGUCUCUUACUACAUUUUCGUCCUCAUUAAAUCGUUAAUUCAAUACGACUUCGCUAAUAAUCGCUGUAGAUGCUAAGCAAAUUUCGGUAAAAUUUAUUUGCCGUUGACUCAUUGUGGGUUUAGCAUAUUCUUGCUUAUGAAAUCCUCAAAAAGAGGCGUCGCCCGACUCUAAAAUUCCAAAUUAGAAACUCGCUUGAGCAAAGACACGUUCCGCCGAGAGGCCGUUUAUGUUAACGACUUCCCAAGUUAUCUGUCACAGGCCAGCAGCUUGUUUGUCAGAUGUUAAUUAAACAUUUACAGAACGUUCACAUCGAUUCAGGUGGAGAUGGCCACGUCAAGUAGAUUAACAGUUACGUCCGAUGGUCCGUGACGUUGAAUAUGGUUUAAUUAAUAAUUUUGAUUAACAGUAAUGGGCCGAGUGUACGCCACAUGUUGCGUUCUGAAGUAGCCCAUUAGGCCAGAGCUGAACAGUGGCUCUUUGAGUCGAAGGCGCUACAUCUCAUGUACGCGCACUUACAAUGUCUGACACUACGGCAUUAUUGCAUCAAAAGAAUACACAUGCGUUACGCGGGCGAGGUGUAGGGCUGCGUCUCUUUCUAUUUCGCAGCAUAGUGUUGCGGUCUCGUUCUCCACGCACGACGUCGGUCGCGGUCGGCUCGUCACAUCCCUCGGUUCGUAUACCUAGCGCAUAGGAGCUAGAUUGGCGCGCCGCGUAUUCAAAAUAGGAACGUUAGUAAUGGAUGGGAGCUGUGCGGUGGGGUGGAUGUGUGCGUGCGAGAGAGCCAGCGACCCUCCCCCGCCCGCCCCCGCGACGCCGCGGCAGCCGCGCGCGUUCACACAACCCGUUGGCCCGGACGGCGCGUCGCCCGCGUCGCGUGCGGGCCUUGUCGCGGCUGACAUCGACGCGCGAACACGUAUCGCUCAUUGUUUUUUUAUCAUCUUGAAACACUUCGCGCUCUCAACCGUACGAGACUUCUUAUAAGACUACGUCUACACAUUUUUUUUUCGAAGUUCUUUUUCGAAGUUUUGAGAUAGUGCAACAUGGAUAGUGAACUUCGAAUUUAGAAUGAAGAUUUUUUUUUUUUCGAAAUGAAAUCACUUGUAACUUAUACGAAAGCAAGGGAGCAAAGCGAAUGCUAGUGGCGUAAGGUUGUACGAUUAUUUUUGUCGAUAGUCAACUGGCUCUACAUUUCUGAAUGAUCAACUCAAACAUUUAAAAUAAAAACAAAAAAAUAAUUAAUCAAAUGGAAGUGAAAUAUUCCAACUUCGAAAUAAGUGAAGGAAGUGCCAUCUAGUGUCGGGAAAUGAAAAAAAAUACAGAGGCGCUGAAAAUAGUGUCAAGGAAAAUUGAAAAUAAAAAGAAAAGAGAAUAUGAGAAAUGUUCAUCAUGAAGUUUUACUACUGAACUGUGAGAUAUUGGAUUGAAUCGCUGCACUGUCAUGAGAUUCGAACGUGUCGGAAACUGGAAAAAAACAUCGCCGCGCCCAACCUGUUGUGGUUGGGGACAUUUGGUGAGCGCUCGAAUUUAUUCUUUACCCUUUUUUGCUCCACUUUUUAAGUUUAAAAAAUGUAAAUAAUACGAUCCUUUGAAAAUGUUGAGAUACAAGUGGUGUAAGGCUUGGGCACACCGCACUCAAGUGUUUAAAAUUUUAUUAAACUUUGAGAGAGCUAUUUUCCGGAAUAAAGUUA